AUACGGAGGAUGCAAGUGUUAUCCGGAUUUAUUGGGUUUAAAGGGUGCGUAGGCGGUUUGCUAAGCGGGAGGUGAAAUGCCGGCGCUCAACGUCGGAAGUGCCUCCCGAACUGGUGGACUUGAAUGACUCUGCCGUGGGAGGAAUGUGUAGUGUAGCGGUGAAAUGCUUAGAGAUUACACAGAACACCGAUUGCGAAGGCAUCUCACGAAGGUUGAUUGACGCUGAGGCACGAAAGCGUGGGGAUCAAACAGGAUUAGAUACCCUGGUAGUCCACGCAGUAAACGAUGAUGGCUAACCGCUGGGCUUAUCAGUUCAGUGGCCAAGCGAAAGCGAUAAGCCAUCCACCUGGGGAGUACGACCGCAAGGUUGAAACUUAAAUGAAUUGGCGGGG
RNAcentral lists this ribosomal RNA (392 nucleotides) under uncultured bacterium. RNAcentral describes it as "partial 16S ribosomal RNA". It matches the Rfam family "Bacterial small subunit ribosomal RNA", at positions 523 to 918 of the family's 1533-position model. The record is from RNAcentral.